UUCUCCCCCUUUGUUAUUCAAUUCAACAUAAUUUUAGCAUCAUAACUUUAGCUUUCAGCUUUGAUCAUCUUAAUCGUCUUAAUAAUCUUAAUAAUCUUUAUUUUCAUUCAUAUCUCUCCCCCUUUUUAUCAUUAUUAAAAAGUAGGGACAAGCUUGUAAUUAUCACAAUUAAUUAAAUUUUAAGUGAUUUAUCAUUAGCAGAGCAUUUUGCAAUUAUCAUCAACUUGUUGUCCAAUCAAUAUAUAACUAUCACAUAGCAUUAUACAUUGAAUUGUUUAGGCAAUCAUAAUAAUAUUCAAGCAAGUUAACUUAUAAUAUAAGAUUA
This 325-nucleotide long non-coding RNA is filed under the name Elaeis guineensis (African oil palm). Its description in RNAcentral is "long non-coding RNA (EGUI_LNC031690)". The record is from RNAcentral. Lineage: Eukaryota; Viridiplantae; Streptophyta; Magnoliopsida; Arecales; Arecaceae.